Molecule: ribosomal RNA, 253 nt
Filed under: uncultured bacterium
Lineage: Bacteria
Description: partial 16S ribosomal RNA
Rfam family: Bacterial small subunit ribosomal RNA
Source: RNAcentral
UACGGAGGGUGCAAGCGUUAUCCGGAUUCACUGGGUUUAAAGGGCGCGUAGGCGGUCCUGAUCGUCGGAUGUGAAAGGCCUGGGCUCAACCUGGGAAUGGCAUCCGAUACGGCGGGACUGGAGUGUGGGAGAGGUUGGUGGAAUUCCCAGUGUAGAGGUGAAAUUCGUAGAUAUUGGGAAGAACACCGGUGGCGAAGGCGGCCAACUGGACCACAACUGACGCUGAGGCGCGAAAGCGUGGGGAGCAAACAGG